AUCGCUUCUCGGCCUUUUGGCUAAGAUCAAGUGUAGUAUCUGUCUUAUCAGUUUAAUAUCUGAUACGUCCCCUAUCUGGGGACCAUAUAUUAAAUGGAUUUUUGGAACAGGGGAUGGAAGAAAGCUUGCCUGUCCACUCCACGCAUCGACCUGGUAAUGCAGUACCUCCAGGACCGGUGCACUCUCU
This 187-nucleotide small nuclear RNA is filed under the name Xenopus tropicalis (tropical clawed frog). RNAcentral's name for it is "U2 spliceosomal RNA (ENSXETG00000046759.1)". It matches the Rfam family "U2 spliceosomal RNA". From Rfam's summary of the family: U2 is a small nuclear RNA (snRNA) component of the spliceosome (involved in pre-mRNA splicing). The record is from Rfam by way of RNAcentral. Lineage: Eukaryota; Metazoa; Chordata; Amphibia; Anura; Pipidae.